AGCACACCUGCUGGCUGCUGCUGGGCUGCCUGAGCACUGGGCCUGGCAGUUGCUGGGCUGCUGGGUUUUGGGCUGCUUCUUUAUUUUCUUUUGCUUUUUUUGGGCUGCUGGGCUAUUGCGGGUCGGGUCGGAUCCGGGUCGUGUCAACCCGGCUGUUAAAUUUUUUUCUUUUUCUUUUUUCUUUCCCCCUUUCUUCUUCCUUCUUCUUUUUCUUUUUUUCUUUAUUUCUUCUUCCCCUUUUUCUUCCUUCUCCAUUCAGCCCUCCCCUUCCUCUGCUCUCGUCGACGGUGACCUGCUGCCCAGCGACGGCCAGCGGUGGCGUGGUCUCCCCUUUCCCCCUUUUUCUUUUUCUCUUCUUUCCUCUUUUUCUUUCUCUUUUUUUUUCUUUUGCUUGCAAUUUUUUUUUGCUUCUUUGCUUCUUGGUUUGUUUUGCUAGGUGUUGGGACGGCGGUGACGGUGAUGUCGUGGUGGUGGGCACAAUGGCGCGCGGUGGAGCUGCUGUUUUUUGUGUUUUUUCGCUCAAAAUUUUGUUUUUUUUCUUCUUUUUUUUGCUUUGCUUUUUUUGUUUUUUUUUCUCUUGUUUCUUUUCGCUGCUAAUUUUGGGGUUGAAAACCCCUUAUAUAUUGUUGAAUUUUCUUCCUUUUUGCAGGUUACAGGUGGCUAGGGAGGGCCUAGGUCGGCCGCCACCGUUGCAGGUGCGCAACUUGCGCUGGCGACAGCCAGAAGGACCAGAUUGCAAAUACAGUAAAAAUUCUGGGGCCAAAGUGUAAUUUUGGGAAAUUUUAGGGUCAAAAUAUAAUUCUAGAAAAGUUCAAUAGUUAAAAUAUAAUUUCAAAAAAGUUUAGGGAUUAAAAUAUAAUUUCAUAAAAAUUAGGAGUCAAAAUACAAUUUUUUUAAAAAAAUACGAAAUUUAUCCCGGAAAAAUUCAAUGAUUACAUCCUUCUUAUCUGUUCUGACAUUAUGUAAAUUAUUGUAGUUUACUUUUGAAAAAACUGUGAUAAGUCAUUGUACUAAAAAGAAAAAGCCGUUUCCUUCUUUAUCUCUUCUGUGCUUAUGUAAAUUAUUAUACUUUGCCUUUCUUAAAAUAAAUAAUAAAUAUUAUCUUGACUUGGAAAUUCUCAACUUUGCUUUUUU
RNAcentral lists this long non-coding RNA (1134 nucleotides) under Gossypium raimondii (Peruvian cotton). RNAcentral's name for it is "long non-coding RNA (GRAI_LNC010382)". Lineage: Eukaryota; Viridiplantae; Streptophyta; Magnoliopsida; Malvales; Malvaceae. The record is from RNAcentral.